AGACAUGCGCAGUGCUGCCCCUUUCUAAGGGCAGGGACGAAGGACUGCGGACCUGACAGUUCUUGGGCUUGAGUCCAGCGGCAAGCUCCCUCCUGAGUGUCUGAAACCGUCAGUUCACUGCCUCAUGUGAAAGUACCCAGUUCUUGGUAACCUGACACUUCCCUUUUAAAAGCCACCUUUUCUCUAUCUCUGGCCUGCCACGAUUCUUCCUGUGCUCCAUAGGAGGACCCAUUGGAUCCCCGGGCUGGCUGCAGGGCCCACACCUGGGUUAGACCUCUCACAGGGACGCUGCUGCCACUGUAAUAAAGCGUGCCUACACGCUUCUGAAACUGGUGAAGGCACAACCUCAGUUCUGUGAAAGGCGGACACAGCAGGACAGAAUCUCCGUGGACAUCUGUCUGGAGGAGGAAUUUUACUGCGACAUUUUAAAGAAACAAAUUUAAUCGAUUUCCAAGUUUUUUAAGACAGAGUCUCGCUCUGUCACCAGGCUGUACAGUGCUGUGGCCUGUCUCGGCUCACUGCAACCUCCACCUCCUGGGUUCAAGCGAUUCUUAUGCCUCAGCCUCCCAAGUAUCUGGGACUACAGGCAUGCGCCACCACGCCCAGCUGAUUUUUGUAUUUUUAGUAGAGAUGGGGUUUCACCAUGUUGACCAG
Molecule: long non-coding RNA, 654 nt
Filed under: Pongo abelii (Sumatran orangutan)
Lineage: Eukaryota; Metazoa; Chordata; Mammalia; Primates; Hominidae
Description: lincRNA
Source: RNAcentral